Molecule: ribosomal RNA, 423 nt
Filed under: uncultured archaeon
Lineage: Archaea
Description: bacterial SSU rRNA
Rfam family: Archaeal small subunit ribosomal RNA
Source: RNAcentral
CAGCCGCCGCGGUAAAACCAGCACCUCAAGUGGUCAGGAUGAUUAUUGGGCCUAAAGCGUCCGUAGCCCGUUUUGUAAGUUUUCGGUUAAAUCCAUGCGCUUAACGUAUGGGCUGCCGGGAAUACUGCAUAACUAGGAAGUGGGAGAGGUAGACGGUACUCGGUAGGAAGGGGUAAAAUCCUUUGAUCUAUUGAUGACCACCUGUGGCGAAGGCGGUCUACCAGAACACGUUCGACGGUGAGGGAUGAAAGCUGGGGGAGCAAACCGGAUUAGAUACCCGGGUAGUCCCAGCUGUAAACUAUGCAAACUCAGUGAUGCAUUGGCUUAUGGCCAAUGCAGUGCUGCAGGGAAGCCGUUAAGUUUGCCGCCUGGGAAGUACGUACGCAAGUAUGAAACUUAAAGGAAUUGGCGGGGGGAGCACCA